Molecule: transfer RNA, 76 nt
Filed under: Hadesarchaea archaeon
Lineage: Archaea; Methanobacteriati; Hadarchaeota (SeqCode); Hadarchaeia (SeqCode)
Description: tRNA-Met
Rfam family: tRNA
About the family: Transfer RNA (tRNA) molecules are approximately 80 nucleotides in length. Their secondary structure includes four short double-helical elements and three loops (D, anti-codon, and T loops). Further hydrogen bonds mediate the characteristic L-shaped molecular structure. tRNAs have two regions of fundamental functional importance: the anti-codon, which is responsible for specific mRNA codon recognition, and the 3' end, to which the tRNAs corresponding amino acid is attached (by aminoacyl-tRNA synthetases). tRNAs cope with the degeneracy of the genetic code in two manners: having more than one tRNA (with a specific anti-codon) for a particular amino acid; and 'wobble' base-pairing, i.e. permitting non-standard base-pairing at the 3rd anti-codon position.
Source: RNAcentral
GCCGGAGUAGCUCAGGUGGUCCGAGCGCGGGACUCAUAAUCCCGAGGUCGGGGUUCAACUCCCUGCUCCGGCACCA